RNAcentral lists this ribosomal RNA (253 nucleotides) under uncultured bacterium. RNAcentral describes it as "partial 16S ribosomal RNA". It matches the Rfam family "Bacterial small subunit ribosomal RNA", at positions 524 to 776 of the family's 1533-position model. The record is from RNAcentral.
UACAGAGGUCUCAAGCGUCGUUCGGAUUCAUUGGGCGUAAAGGGCGCGUAGGCGGGCUGUCAAGUCUGGGGUGAAAUGCUGCGGCUCAACCGUAGAACUGCCUUAGAUACUGACGGCCUCGAGGAAGGUAGGGGCAUGCGGAACUGUAGGUGGAGCGGUGAAAUGCGUUGAUAUCUACAGGAACUCCGGUGGCGAAAGCGGCGUGCUGGACCUUUUCUGACGCUGAGGCGCGAAAGCUAGGGGAGCAAACGGG